CUGACCAGACAAGGGCAUUGUCCCCACUCAGAAAUGCUCCAAAAGAACUAAGGAGAAGGAUUAGAGGAGACAAAAUGUUUUUGCUAAAUUCUUGCACUGAAGCCAGAGUUGCUCAGGAAAUAACAGCUCAGUUUGUUAGCUCUGAUCUCUAAUUCCAUCCCAAAUUCAUAACGUUAUUUUUUUUGUUUGUUUCCAUUGUUCAUUUGUUGUGUGCCUCUUAGGAUGUCCCUUUCCAUCUGGGCCUCAAUGACCUUCCCUGGGAAAUGGGGUACUUGUACUUAACCAUACCCCUGCUUCUAAAGACAAACUGGGAAAAUUAAAUGGAAAUUCUAAAAGAAAGCUUCAUCUUUUAGUUCCUUAGAGAACUAGCAUUACAGUUGAUUACCUAGGUGAUGAUUCAAGCUAUUCAACCCUUGUCAUUCUGAAUGUACUUCUCUUCCAGCUUGCCUUGGAAAGAAAAUCAGCCAGUUAAAGAAAGCAUCAGCUGGAACUCUCUCAGCUCUCAGUGACUGCAGAGUGAACUAUGGCAUUCAGCAUAGAAAAUGUUCUUCCAGUGCUCCAAUAAAUAGCAUUCAGUUUUUAGCCCCAGGGAAUUCAGUGUAGCCCUGGUUACUCCUCACUGCCACAGCCAACACUGCUUCCUUGGGUAGGAGAAAUGAUUUAUGGAGAUGAGCUGAACAACAGCCAAUCAACCACCCCCACAGGCCACCCUUGGACCAUGACAUACAGGGCAUCUGACUGAUAGUCCCACCAAGACUGCCUAUGAUCAUUUUACUCCUGCAGAGAAAGAUGUGCCUAAAAGAGAAGCAGCACCUACCUGGAAGACUCAGGAGACAAAGAGGGAAAGAAAUGAAUCCCCAAGAUUUCCUGGGCUGAGCCUAACAGGAUAUGAGAAGCAGAAACUUCUGGAUUGUGAGAAGAAACAAAGGAAGAAGAGAGAUGCUCUAUAGGAGAAAAAUCACAGACAAUAAGUGGGGAGAGCAAGAAGACAAAGUUUUGUUACUUUAAUUCACCACUCCUAUCCCCAGCCACCAGUGGCCAUCCUGUACUGGAUUCUAAACCCAGGGCCCUAA
RNAcentral lists this long non-coding RNA (1073 nucleotides) under Homo sapiens (human). RNAcentral's name for it is "HSALNT0303826". The record is from RNAcentral. Lineage: Eukaryota; Metazoa; Chordata; Mammalia; Primates; Hominidae.